ACGGAGGAUCCAAGCGUUAUCCGGAUUUAUUGGGUUUAAAGGGUGCGCAGGCGGAUCAAUAAGUCAGGGGUGAAAAAUUUCAGCUUAACUGGAAUCGUGCCUUUGAUACUGUUGGACUAGAGUAUAAUUGACGUGACUGGAAUGUGAUGUGUAGAGGUGAAAUGAUUAGUCAUGUCACACAAGCCCAAUCGUGGAGACAUGUCACGAAAUUAUAACUGCCGCUCAUGCACGUAAGCGUGUAGAUGAAAGAG
RNAcentral lists this ribosomal RNA (251 nucleotides) under uncultured prokaryote. RNAcentral describes it as "partial 16S rRNA". It matches the Rfam family "Bacterial small subunit ribosomal RNA", at positions 525 to 775 of the family's 1533-position model. The record is from RNAcentral.